Molecule: ribosomal RNA, 497 nt
Filed under: uncultured bacterium
Lineage: Bacteria
Description: partial 16S ribosomal RNA
Rfam family: Bacterial small subunit ribosomal RNA
Source: RNAcentral
GAUGAACGCUGGCGGCGUGCCUAAUACAUGCAAGUCGAGCGAACGGACGAGAAGCUUGCUUCUCUGAUGUUAGCGGCGGACGGGUGAGUAACACGUGGAUAACCUACCUAUAAGACUGGGAUAACUUCGGGAAACCGUAGCUAAUACCGGAUAAUAUUUUGAACCGCAUGGUUCAAAAGUGAAAGACGGUCUUGCUGUCACUUAUAGAUGGAUCCGCGCUGCAUUAGCUAGUUGGUAAGGUAACGGCUUACCAAGGCAACGAUGCAUAGCCGACCUGAGAGGGUGAUCGGCCACACUGGAACUGAGACACGGUACAGACUCCUACGGGAGGCAGCAGUAGGGAAUCUUCCGCAAUGGGCGAAAGCCUGACGGAGCAACGCCGAGUGAGUGAUGAAGGUCUUCGGAUCGUAAAACUCUGUUAUUAGGGAAGAACAUAUGUGUAAGUAACUGUGCACAUCUUGACGGUACCUAAUCAGAAAGCCACGGCUAACUACGUG